RNAcentral lists this ribosomal RNA (468 nucleotides) under uncultured bacterium. Its description in RNAcentral is "partial 16S ribosomal RNA". It matches the Rfam family "Bacterial small subunit ribosomal RNA", at positions 28 to 507 of the family's 1533-position model. The record is from RNAcentral.
GAUGAACGCUGGCGGCGUGCUUAACACAUGCCAGUCGAACGGUGAAGGCGGAGCUUGCUCUGCUGGAUCAGUGGCGAACGGGUGAGUAACACGUGAGCAAUCUGCCCCUGACUCUGGGAUAAGCGCUGGAAACGGCGUCUAAUACUGGAUACGAGCUGCGAAGGCAUCUUCAGCAGCUGGAAAGAAUUUCGGUCAGGGAUGAGCUCGCGGCCUAUCAGCUUGUUGGUGAGGUAAUGGCUCACCAAGGCGUCGACGGGUAGCCGGCCUGAGAGGGUGACCGGCCACACUGGGACUGAGACACGGCCCAGACUCCUACGGGAGGCAGCAGUGGGGAAUAUUGCACAAUGGGCGGAAGCCUGAUGCAGCAACGCCGCGUGAGGGACGACGGCCUUCGGGUUGUAAACCUCUUUUAGCAGGGAAGAAGCGAAAGUGACGGUACCUGCAGAAAAAGCGCCGGCUAACUACGUG